Long non-coding RNA from Manis javanica (Malayan pangolin), 1625 nucleotides. RefSeq lists it as uncharacterized. Lineage: Eukaryota; Metazoa; Chordata; Mammalia; Pholidota; Manidae. The record is from RefSeq and is a predicted model, not a curated record.
GGUGCACUGCUACUUACUAUGUGCCAGGCAUGCUGUCGGGUGUUAGCAUGCCCUAUUUGGCAGAACGGAUGAACUCCUGUUCUCAUGAAGCUUCCAGAUUACUCUGGCUGUUGUGUGAAGAACAGAUUGAAAUCUGGCAAGAACAGAAAAUAAAGACCUGUUAGACUAUUUCUAGUCCUGGAGAAAGAUAAUGGUGGCUUGGCCUGGAAAGGUGGCAACAAUAAUGGAAAGAAUAUUAAGAUGAAAGUCCAAGAAGGCAAAGAGCUUGUGGGAUUGUUCAUUGCUGUCGAGCCAAUGCCUCUCAAGAUGCUCUGCACACAGAAGCCUGCCAACGAAUAUUCUUUUUUGCAUGAACAAAAAAACUCUUGUAGAGCUCAAGAUUGAGAAGAAAAUAUAGAUACUGAGCAGAUAAUCAUGUUAUGACUACUACAGCAAGCAUGGUGUUGCUAUAACCCGAGGAAACUGAUUUUAGUGGGAAGCAAGACAAUCCAGGUCUCCCUGAUCUGAAAACUGAUCAGGAGUUGGCCAAAUGAUGAAAGAGAGGAGUGUUCCAGGCAGAGGAAAUAAAAGUGUGAAGGCUUCAGGAUAAGAGUAUGGAGUAUUUUGGGGGAAAUCAAAGACCAGUAUGGCUGGAGCAUGAGAGGUAAAGGUGGGCCCAUGGGAUGUGUGGUAAGCCUCAGGAUUGUUAGCUUCAUCCUAAGAGAAAGGGAAAACUUUAGGUAGUAGAGGUGAUGAAGUUUGCAUUUUUAAAGACCACUAUAGAUUUGAGGAGAGUGGACUGCAGGCGAGGUACUUGGAAAAGUAGGCCAGGGUAGAGAAGAUCGAAGGAGACUGGCUAGGUAAAUGUAAGAACACAGACUAGAGAAGAUAGAGGCAUGGCUAGAGGAAAUGGUGAGUUUGGAGAAUUGUGGUAGAUUCACAACAGAGGCUAGAACAGUUAAGUUCUGAUGAGUCACUGGGCUUGUCAUAAAGGAGCAGGAGAGCCAGAAUGACUUCCAGGGUUUGAUUUAGACUAGUGGGUAGACAGUGGCACUGUUUAUUGAGAUAAGAGAAAACUGGGGAAGGAGCCAGUUGUUGGUGGGAAGAUAACAGAUUCAGUUAUGGACAAAGUUUGACGCACCUGUGAGAUAUACAAGCCAGCAGUUGAAUAGAUGACAGUGUGAUGAUCAACAGAAUUGUGUGUACAAAUGAAGCUCUCUUUCUAGGGAAUGAGUGGAGUAAAAGGCUUGGGAUGGAGUCCUGAGGUACUUUCACCAUUUAAGGGUCAGAUCGAGAAGAAGCCAGCAAAAGUGACCAAGGAGUAACUUAGGAGGUGAGAGUAACACUGGAACACGUGGGGCUAUGGAAUGUCUUGAUGAAAUGGUCUCAGACAAGAGUCUUGGUAUAGUAGCAGUUAGAUUUUAAGUAGAGCCACUCAGCACUUAAAUUCUGAUAAUCCUUCCCUUUUAUUAGGAAAUUGUGUACAGUAGUCCCCCCAUUCACAGGGGAUAUGUUCCAAGACACCCAGUGUAUGCCUGAAACUGUGGAUAGUACUGAACCCUGUAUAUAGUAUAUUAUAUCAAUGAUAAAGUUUAAUUUAGAAAUUAGGCACAGAGAUUAAUGACUGUAAUUAAUAAUAAAAAACA